This 168-nucleotide ribosomal RNA is filed under the name uncultured Streptococcus sp. RNAcentral describes it as "partial 16S ribosomal RNA". It matches the Rfam family "Bacterial small subunit ribosomal RNA", at positions 1217 to 1382 of the family's 1533-position model. Lineage: Bacteria; Bacillati; Bacillota; Bacilli; Lactobacillales; Streptococcaceae. The record is from RNAcentral.
CACACGUGCUACAAUGGUUGGUACAACGAGUUGCGAGUCGGUGACGGCGAGCUAAUCUCUUAAAGCCAAUCUCAGUUCGGAUUGUAGGCUGCAACUCGCCUACAUGAAGUCGGAAUCGCUAGUAAUCGCGGAUCAGCACGCCGCGGUGAAUACCGGUUCCCGGGCCUU